This 449-nucleotide ribosomal RNA is filed under the name uncultured bacterium. RNAcentral's name for it is "bacterial SSU rRNA". It matches the Rfam family "Bacterial small subunit ribosomal RNA", at positions 354 to 796 of the family's 1533-position model. The record is from RNAcentral.
GUCGAGAAUUUUUCACAAUGGGCGCAAGCCUGAUGGAGCGACGCCGCGUGGGGGAUGAAUGGCUUCGGCCCGUAAACCCCUGUCAUUUGCGAUCAACCGUUAUUAUUUAAAAGAUGAUGACCUGAUGGUAGCGAAAGAGGAAGGGACGGCUAACUCUGUGCCAGCAGCCGCGGUAAUACAGAGGUCCCAAGCGUUGUUCGGAUUCACUGGGCGUAAAGGGUGCGUAGGUGGUGGGGUAAGUCGGAUGUGAAAUCUCGGAGCUCAACUCCGAAAUGGCAUUGGAAACUGCCCUGCUUGAGGGUCGGAGGGGGGACUGGAAUACUUGGUGUAGCAGUGAAAUGCGUAGAUAUCAAGUGGAACACCAGUGGCGAAGGCGAGUCCCUGGACGACUCCUGACACUGAGGCACGAAAGCUAGGGGAGCAAACAGGAUUAGAUACCCCAGUAGUCC